This 2002-nucleotide long non-coding RNA is filed under the name Equus asinus (donkey). RNAcentral's name for it is "lncRNA (ENSEASG00005026835.1)". The record is from RNAcentral. Lineage: Eukaryota; Metazoa; Chordata; Mammalia; Perissodactyla; Equidae.
CCACUCGCUCACGCUCUCCCCUCCGGGAACCGUCCCACAAGACAAGGGCCUGAGGCCCCGCCCCUCACACGCAACAGCGUACGCAGGCACGCUCACGCAAUCAGAGCCACGGGGGGGUGGGGUCGCUCGCGAGCCAGCCCGAAGCCCCGCCCCUGCACAACACGUAGCACGCACGGCCGCGCGCACGCGCAGGGCCUAUUUUGCGCUCCCCCGGGGCCCCACUCCUCAUUCCCCGUAGGAAGUCACGGAGGCGUCUUCUGGCACUGAGGCGUUUGCUAGAUCUGUUCAACCAAACCCAGCCUCCACCCUCCGCAAUUCGUUGCUCUCCUCGGCUUCCACGCCUGCACGUUCCCGUCCCGUUUGGGGUCUUCUCCCCCUAGGACCCUCCCCGUUGUCCCCCGGCUCAGCUGGACUUAGAGCUGGGCUCACCCGCGCUUGCGCACUUGGAGCUCAGGCUGCAACUCCCAGAAGCCUGUGGGGCGCGGCACGGCUCUGGUCGGCCAGACCCAGACGUGAGGUUGAGGAAUCCCGGCCCGCAGUGGCUCCGACCUGUCCGGUCCGUGACGAAGUGACCCGCGAGAGGGGCGGAGGGAUGUUCGUCCAGGCUGGAAUGGAAAUCUCACUUACGCCUUCAUUGAACGAAGAGCCCCAGAAUCCUUUGCGCGCCGCCGUUCCGUCCGUCAGACUACAUUUCCCAGGAGACCCUGCGUGUGGUGACGGGGAGGUGAGGAAUUCAAUCCUGGGAAACAGUCCGACAGAAUAUUCGGAGGAGCUGCUGCCGGUGUGUGAGUUUAGGUGCAGCGCGCGUCUCUCACGAAACAGUCAUGGCCUGACAAGCAGUGUGGGUCUGUGCCUGGGAUCUGAACCCAUAAACCCAAGCUGCCAAAGUGGAGCAAGCCGAACUUAGCCACUAGGCCACAGGGCUGGCCUCCAGUUUUUGUGUUUCUAGAGACACAGGCAUUCAAGACAACCAGAGAAGUGAUGCAAACUGACGUUGCGUUAUCAGCUCGGCCUUGGAAUUGAAGAACGACCUGGGAAAGAAUUGAAUGAGGAGAUGGGAGGUUCAGAAGCGAGGGUCUUUCUGAUUCUUGUUCCUGCCCAGCUAGAUUUAUUUUCUAUCUAUGGUGAUAGAUCCCAGUUGACAACAGAUUGUUCCCAGCUGGGACCUCCCUUGGAGUGGACGAUCUCCAAUAUCCAGUUGGUUCCUGAAUAGGGAGGGAAAAGAGAGAGUCGUCUUUUUCAAUCUGACUUUUCACUCUAACACUACAUCUUUUUUUUUUUAUGAUAGCUUUAUUGAGAUAUAACUCAUAUACCAUACAAUUUACCCAUAUAAAGUACACAAUUCCAUGGUUUUUAGUAUAGUCAUAGAUAUGUGCAACCAUCACCACCAGUUAAUUUUAGAACAUUUUUAUCACCUCAGAAAGAAACUCAUAAUUCUAGAUGCCAGGAUUUUUAUUGGCAAAAAUCUGUGUCAAACUCCAGAAUUUGCCUAUUCUGGAGAUUUAAUAUUGAUGGAAUCAUAUGCUAUGUGACCUUUUCUGUCUGGUCUCUUGUGUUAAUCAUGUUUUGUAUUUUCUGUAAUUUAUGGUGUUUUGACAUCUUGAGGGGCCUAGCCACCUGGGGAGAGACUGCCCCCUCCAGGGCCAGCUAAUUCUUAGAUAGUAAACAACUUCCCUGAGAAUGUACAUUCCAUAUGCAAACCAAUCCUCAGCCCAUAUUCUCACCCACCUCUCAUACACCAAGCCAAUAUUUUCCCUGUCCUAAAUCAACCCAGGGCCAGGUACCAGAAACAAGAGACCAUCCCUAUAGCCCACAGUCCAUGACAUUAUUCAAACCAGCCAGUCCUUGGAAAACUCAAAAAAGCUCUGGGUCAUGCUUUCCCCUCACUCCUUGCUGCCUCUUGACCAAACCUGGUGCUUCCCUCUGUGGCCCUGCAUAGGGUAGUGUGUCCCCUUCUCUUGUAAAUAAUAAACUCUUCUCAUCAAGGUAGUUGUCCCUGUGU